RNAcentral lists this ribosomal RNA (253 nucleotides) under uncultured bacterium. RNAcentral's name for it is "partial 16S ribosomal RNA". It matches the Rfam family "Bacterial small subunit ribosomal RNA", at positions 524 to 776 of the family's 1533-position model. The record is from RNAcentral.
UACGUAGGGGGCGAGCGUUGUCCGGAAUUAUUGGGCGUAAAGCGCGCGUAGGCGGGAUAGUCAGUCUGUUGUAAAAGCGCGGGGCUUAACCCCGUAAGGUCAAUGGAAACUGCUAUUCUUGAGUGCAGGAGAGGAGAGUGGAAUUCCCAGUGUAGCGGUGAAAUGCGUAGAUAUUGGGAGGAACACCAGUGGCGAAGGCGAGUUUCUGGACUGUGUCUGACGCUGAGGCGCGAAAGCCAGGGGAGCGAACGGG